This 419-nucleotide ribosomal RNA is filed under the name bacterium. RNAcentral describes it as "partial 16S ribosomal RNA". It matches the Rfam family "Bacterial small subunit ribosomal RNA", at positions 355 to 776 of the family's 1533-position model. The record is from RNAcentral.
UGGGGGAUAUUGCACAAUGGGCGAAAGCUUGAUGCAGCGACGCCGCGUGGGGGAUGAAGGCCUUCGGGUUGUAAACUUCUUUUGCUCUGAACAAGGCAUGCUAAUGGGUGUGUUGAGUGUAGGGGUUGAUUAGCGCCGGCUAACUACGUGCCAGCAGCCGCGGUAAUACGUAGGGCGCGAGCGUUGUCCGGAAUUAUUGGGCGUAAAGGGCUUGUAGGUGGCUGGUUGCGUCUGUCGUGAAAGCUCAUGGCUUAACUGUGGGUUUGCGGUGGGUACGGGCUGGCUUGAGUGCAGUAGGGGAGGCUGGAAUUCCUGGUGUAGCGGUGGAAUGCGCAGAUAUCAGGAGGAAUACCGGUGGCGAAGGAGGGUCUCUGGGCUGUUACUGACACUGAGGAGCGAAAGCAUGGGGAGCGAACAGG